UGCAAGUCGAACGGGCACUUCGGUGCUAGUGGCAGACGGGUGAGUAACGCGUGGGAACGUGCCUUUCGGUUCGGAAUAAUCCAGGGAAACUUGGACUAAUACCGGAUACGCCCUUCGGGGGAAAGAUUUAUCGCCGAAAGAUCGGCCCGCGUCUGAUUAGCUAGUUGGUGAGGUAAAGGCUCACCAAGGCGACGAUCAGUAGCUGGUCUGAGAGGAUGAUCAGCCACAUUGGGACUGAGACACGGCCCAAACUCCUACGGGAGGCAGCAGUGGGGAAUAUUGGACAAUGGGCGCAAGCCUGAUCCAGCCAUGCCGCGUGAGUGAUGAAGGCCUUAGGGUUGUAAAGCUCUUUUGUCCGGGAAGAUAAUGACUGUACCGGAAGAAUAAGCCCCGGCUAACUUCGUGCCAGCAGCCGCGGUAAUACGAAGGGGGCUAGCGUUGCUCGGAAUCACUGGGCGUAAAGGGCGCGUAGGCGGACUUUUAAGUCGGAGGUGAAAGCCCAGGGCUCAACCCUGGAAUUGCCUUCGAUACUGGGAGUCUUGAGUUCGGAAGAGGUUGGUGGAACUGCGAGUGUAGAGGUGAAAUUCGUAGAUAUUCGCAAGAACACCGGUGGCGAAGGCGGCCAACUGGUCCGAAACUGACGCUGAGGCGCGAAAGCGUGGGGAGCAAACAGG
RNAcentral lists this ribosomal RNA (674 nucleotides) under uncultured Alphaproteobacteria bacterium. RNAcentral describes it as "bacterial SSU rRNA". It matches the Rfam family "Bacterial small subunit ribosomal RNA", at positions 56 to 776 of the family's 1533-position model. The record is from RNAcentral. Lineage: Bacteria; Pseudomonadati; Pseudomonadota; Alphaproteobacteria.